CCCGUGCGGGCGCCUCGCGGAGGGCGCGCGGGACCCCGAGCCGCGGCCGGAGCGGGAAGCAGCGAGGUGCGCGUGCGGUUCGAGGUCAAAAAUUCGCCGGGAGAAGAUGGGGCCCUGUCGCCUCGGUUGGCAGAGCGCGUGCAGUGUGCUGAGCCUUUCCACGUGCAUCAUCGCGUGCGCUGGGCCGGGGUGGCGCUCCCCCGCGAAGAGCGGCAGGCUCCUGUCCAGCGACGCUGGCCUCCGCACCGGAGACUUGGGAACUGAUUUAUGAGCACGUGGUUCAGGGACCCGCUUCUUACCCAUGAAGAAGUGAAGGCUUCUGGGUAAGGCUCCCUUGCUAAGACACAGCCCCUCUUCUGUCUCUGGACCUUGCUGUGUCUGUAUGUGAUGCCUGGAACCGCUACACCCUCCGCAUUACCACACCCAGCAUGAAGCCAGGACACACUAAUCAUGGUAGAGUGGAGAGAUGGAAAGAAGCUGGUUCAUGAUGACAUUGAAGCUGGUCCUCCUGUCUGCAUCCCCGGUACUUCCCUUGGAGACCAAAUGCUACUUUCUACAUCAUCUGAUAAUUUUUUUUCCAACUUUUUAAAAAAUCUCUUAGCUAGACAGUUGCCUCCUUUGAACACAGUCGAAACCCCUGGAGUGGAACGGAUAAUGAAACAGUUCGGGAGUUAAGAUGAGCCACAAGAAGGAAACCAUGAGGAGUUUACUUGCAUUCAGCUGAGGACUGUGGUCCUGACCAAGAGCCCGGUCUGUUCUCUUCCUUUCUUUCUUUGCUGAUCUCCUCAGCCUGCACCCCAUGACCCCUGUAUUAACCCCGUGCUAGGCAUCAUCAUCUUUUAUUAACUUGUCUGUCUUUCUUUCUGGAUCAUUAAGUUGCUUGAGGGGAGGAAUUUUUUGUCUUUUAUCUCGGUAUCACCAAUUCCUAGCAGACUCUUAACUCCCAGAAGGCAGGGAAUCCAUUUUAUUUUCUACACCUCCUGCUCACUCUCCAAUAAAUAUUUGUUGCAUAAAUAAAUAAAUUGCCGGCAAAUUGUAGGCACUUAAUAAGUAUUUGCUCAAUUAAUGAAUUGUAUGUUGAAAUUAAAUCACAUAUUUGUGCAAUCAAGGAGUUAACUAUUUUGAGAAAUAUUUAAUAUAUCCUAU
RNAcentral lists this long non-coding RNA (1146 nucleotides) under Equus asinus (donkey). RNAcentral describes it as "lncRNA (ENSEASG00005029373.1)". The record is from RNAcentral. Lineage: Eukaryota; Metazoa; Chordata; Mammalia; Perissodactyla; Equidae.